CCUUACCCUUGCCUUUCCUACUGCUACUUGCCAUUGAUAAUGGGGGAAGAAAAAUUUAAAAGGAAACAGAAAAGUGAAAGAAAAGAGGACGAUCUAACCUAAAAGCUAAAAAAACCUGAGGAACCAUGAAGACAUGGGGAAGAAGAAGAUGGCUUUGGAACUUUUGACUUCCACUUGAACUCAACGAUAUUCUUGAUACCCACAU
This 205-nucleotide long non-coding RNA is filed under the name Elaeis guineensis (African oil palm). Its description in RNAcentral is "long non-coding RNA (EGUI_LNC026396)". The record is from RNAcentral. Lineage: Eukaryota; Viridiplantae; Streptophyta; Magnoliopsida; Arecales; Arecaceae.